RNAcentral lists this ribosomal RNA (406 nucleotides) under uncultured bacterium. Its description in RNAcentral is "partial 16S ribosomal RNA". It matches the Rfam family "Bacterial small subunit ribosomal RNA", at positions 29 to 526 of the family's 1533-position model. The record is from RNAcentral.
AUUGAACGCUGGCGGCAGGCCUAACACAUGCAAGUCGAACGAGUGGCGGACGGGUGAGUUAUGUCUGGGAAACUGCCUGAUGGAGGGGGAUAACUACUGGAAACGGUAGCUAAUACCGCAUACCAUCGGAUGUGCCCAGAUGGGGUUAGCUAGUAGGUGGGGUAACGGCGCACCUAGGCGACGAUCCCUAGCUGGUCUGAGAGGAUGACCAGCGACGCUGGAACUGAGACACGGUCCAGACUCCGACGGGAGGCAGAAGUGGGGAGUAUUGCACAAUGGGCGCAAGCCUGAGGCAGCCAUGCCGCGUGUAUGAGGAAGGCCUUCGGGUUGUAAAGUACUUUCAGAGGGGAGGCGUUACCCGCAGAAGAAGCACCGGCUAACUCCGUGCCAGCAGCCGCGGUAAUAC